ACCCCACCUCUGAGCAACUGAUGCUCCUUUCCAAAUCCCCACAGCAGCGCUGCGUAACCCUCUGGGGAGCUGAGGGUUGGUGAUAAAACCCCAUUUAUUGGGUUUUUAAAUAAACCCCCCCUCCUGGUCACCCUCGGGCAGGCUGGUGACCCACAGCCACGCUGGGUACAGCUCCCACAUCUCCACGAGAGCCCCGUCUCCUCCAGACACCAGCUCCUGCAAGAGCUCCCACGUAUGACUUCACCCUUGGCUCUGACGCUGAAACCAGAGGGCAAAGAAAAAUACGCCACGUGCGCUAAUUAAUGACUCUGACUAAGCCUUGGGGCAGGGCACUGCCCUCGGCUUGGACGCAGUUAUGUUGUCAGUGUCCUGCUCUACCUCCUGGGGUGGCUGGCCAUGGCGACGGGCAGCAAACACGGGCUGCUGGCACCAGGCGAGUGCCCCUGGCUGCCAGCUCUGCCUCUGCAGCGAGUUUUGCUUGCUGGGGAAAGAAAGCUUUGGUUCCUGCACGGGGAGAGGGCUCUCCUGGGCAUCCCUGCCUCCCCUCAGGCAGCCCUGCAUCCCCCUGGGCACAGGAGACCCCUCCUGCGUCCCCUCAGGCACCUCUGCAUCCUCCUGGGCAUCCACUCAAGCAUCCCCCUGGGCAUGGGAGACCCUUCCUGCAUCCCCUCAGGCACCUCUGCAUCCUCCUGGGCAUCCACUCAAGCAUCCCCCUGGGCAUGGGAGACCCUUCCUGCAUCCCCUCAGGCACCUCUGCAUCCUCCUGGGUAGGGGAAACCUCUCCUGCAUCCUCCUGGGCACUCCUGGGCAUGGAAGUCCCCUCCUGCAUCCCCUCAGGCACCCCUGCAUCCAGCUGGGCACCCCCUCAAGCAUCCCCCUGGGCAUGGAAGACCCUUCCUGCAUCCCCUCAGGCAUCUUUGCACCCUCCCGGGCAUCUCUGCAUUCUCAUGGGCACAGAAGACCCCUCCUGCAUCCUCCUGAAACACCCCUGCAUCCUCCUGGGCAUGGGAGACCCCUCGUGCACCCUCCUGGGCAUCUCUGCAUCCUCCUGGGCACAGAAGACCCCUCCUGCAUCCUCCUGGGCAUCUCUGCAUUCUCAUGGGCACAGAAAACCCCUCCUGUGUCCUCCUGGGCAUGGAAGUCCCCUCCUGCAUCCCCUCAGGCAUCCCUGCAUCCUCCUGGGCAUCUCUGCACCCUCCUGGGCAUGGGAGACCCCUCCUGCAUCCCUGGGUCCUCCUGGGCAUGGGAGACCCCUCCUGCCUCCCUGCGUCCUCCUGGGCAUGGGAGACCCCUCCUGCAUCCCCUCAGGCACCCCUGUAUCCUCCUGAGCAUCCCUCCCUGCAUCUCUG
Molecule: long non-coding RNA, 1349 nt
Filed under: Calidris pugnax (ruff)
Lineage: Eukaryota; Metazoa; Chordata; Aves; Charadriiformes; Scolopacidae
Description: lncRNA (ENSCPUG00000010585.1)
Source: RNAcentral